Molecule: long non-coding RNA, 735 nt
Filed under: Homo sapiens (human)
Lineage: Eukaryota; Metazoa; Chordata; Mammalia; Primates; Hominidae
Description: HSALNT0368342
Source: RNAcentral
GAGUCGCGUCCCGGAGACUGGCGGCGCUGACUCUGCCCGCUGCGGCCGCCGCGCCGAUUAGAGCCCGAGAGGGAGCGCCAGCCCGGGGGAGGGGGCGGCGGCGGGGGAACUCCGGAUGCCCCUUCGCCUCCGCCCAGCCAGCGCCCCCCGCUGCCCGGCCCAGUCCUUUCUCAGCCGCCCGAACCCAGGACCGGAGUCCUGCCUCUUCCGCCGUAGCUUUCUCGAGGCUGCAUCCAAGCUUCUUCCUCCGGAUCUUGCAGUGCCCGAGGUCCCGACGGUGCCAACAUCCCGUUGGCCCCCAGCCUGCCAGUCUCUCAUGCCCUUUCUCUUCCCCAUCACCCCACACAGAGAGGAGUAGGGAUCUCAGAGCUCCCCCAUUCUCUUAUCCUCCGCUCCCCAAUGCACUCUCUAAGCAAAAGCCGUUCCAAGCGAAGAAGAGAAUCAGAGACUCAGAGGACGGGCUUUCCAGGGCCGGAGCACCCCCUGCUGGCUGGCCCGAAGCCCCUCCCCCUCCCCCUCCAGCUGUGACCUCCAGCUGUGGUGGCUGGGAAGAGCUGGCCCCUUUGAUCUAGGAGCGUGGCAACCCCCUCCAGGCGCCCCAUUAACCUCCAUUAUCCCAAUUAGGCAGCCCUCCCAGUCCUGGAUCCAAGCUUCAAAGCCCCCUCAGUUGGGAGAAAAGGGAGCUGAAUCGUAUGCCCCCUACCUCCCCACCAAGCCACACCACUUUCAGACAAG